GCAUAUCAAUAAGCGGAGGAAAAGAAACCAACAGGGAUUGCCCUAGUAACGGCGAGUGAAGCGGCAACAGCUCAAAUUUGAAAUCUGGCUUCGGCCCGAGUUGUAAUUUGCAGAGGAAGCUUUAGGCGCGGCACCUUCUGAGUCCCCUGGAACGGGGCGCCACAGAGGGUGAGAGCCCCGUAUAGUUGGAUGCCUAGCCUGUGUAAAGCUCCUUCGACGAGUCGAGUAGUUUGGGAAUGCUGCUCAAAAUGGGAGGUAAAUUUCUUCUAAAGCUAAAUACCGGCCAGAGACCGAUAGCGCACAAGUAGAGUGAUCGAAAGAUGAAAAGCACUUUGAAAAGAGGGUUAAAUAGCACGUGAAAUUGUUGAAAGGGAAGCGCUUGUGACCAGACUUGCGCCAGGCUGAUCAUCCGGUGUUCUCACCGGUGCACUCUGCCCGGCGCAGGCCAGCAUCGGUUCUCGCGGGGGGAUAAAGGCCCCGGGAACGUAGCUCCUCCGGGAGUGUUAUAGCCCGGGGCGUAAUGCCCUCGCGGGGACCGAGGACCGCGCAUCUGCAAGGAUG
RNAcentral lists this ribosomal RNA (561 nucleotides) under Achaetomiella virescens. RNAcentral describes it as "eukaryotic LSU rRNA". It matches the Rfam family "Eukaryotic large subunit ribosomal RNA", at positions 38 to 625 of the family's 3401-position model. Lineage: Eukaryota; Fungi; Ascomycota; Sordariomycetes; Sordariales; Chaetomiaceae. The record is from RNAcentral.